Sapajus apella (tufted capuchin) is the source of this 854-nucleotide RNA transcript. It is a transcript of the gene named zinc finger protein 181 pseudogene, with no coding region annotated. The transcript has 2 exons. The record is from RefSeq and is a predicted model, not a curated record. Lineage: Eukaryota; Metazoa; Chordata; Mammalia; Primates; Cebidae.
UAUAUUUCAGAUUGGGAAUCAAGAUGGACAAACAAGGAAUUAUCAUCAAAGAAGGAUCUUUAUGAUGAAUAUUCAUCCCAAACAGUAAUAAUACAAAAAGCUGUAAAACAAGGUUAUGAAUUUUCAAAUUCUAUGAAGAAUUUGGAAUAUAUAGAAUGCAACCCAUUUAGAAGCACCUAUUCUUCAAAGGUUACUGUUUCUGAACCACAAAAAAAUUCUGCUGAAGGGAAUUCACACAAAUAUAUAUUAAAGAAGAAUUUACCAAAAAAGUCAGUUGUGAAAAAUGAGAAAAUCAGUGGUGGAAAGAAACUUUUGAAUUCUAAUGAAAGUGGGGCAGCCUUCAACCAGAGCAAAUCUCUUACCCUUUCCCAGACUUGUGAUGGAGAGAAAAUCUAUACAUGCAGCGAAUGUGGGAAAGCCUUUGGCAAACAGUCAGUCCUCAAUCGCCACUGGAGAAUUCAUACAGGAGAGAAGCCCUAUGAAUGUCGUGAAUGUGGGAAGACUUUAGCCAUGGCUCAUCCCUUACACGACAUCAGAUAAGCCAUAGUGGAGAGAAACCAUAUGAAUGUACAAACUGUGGAAAGUCUUUUAGUCGUGUUUCCCUUCUCGUUCAACAUCUAAGAAUUCAUACACAAGAAAAACGCUAUGAGUGUCGUAUAUGUGGAAAGGCUUUCAUUCAUAGUUCAUCUCUCAUUCACCAUCAGAAGAGCCAUACUGGAGAGAAGCCUUAUGAAUGCAGUGAAUGUGGGAAAGCUUUCUGCUGUAGCUCACACCUUACUCAACAUCAAAGAAUUCACACUAUAAAGAAAAAAUAUGAAUGCAACAAAUGUCUGAAAGUCUUUAGUAGCCUCUCA